Molecule: non-coding RNA, 86 nt
Organism: Lactifluus volemus
Lineage: Eukaryota; Fungi; Basidiomycota; Agaricomycetes; Russulales; Russulaceae
Source: the annotation of a GenBank genome assembly
CCUCUGGUAGCUCAACCGGAAGAGCAUGGGACUGUAACAGAAUAUCUGACAUCCCAAGGUCGCUGGUUCAACUCCAGUUCGGAGGA